Molecule: ribosomal RNA, 445 nt
Filed under: uncultured bacterium
Lineage: Bacteria
Description: partial 16S ribosomal RNA
Rfam family: Bacterial small subunit ribosomal RNA
Source: RNAcentral
GUGAGGAAUAUUGCGCAAUGGAGGCAACUCUGACGCAGCCAUGCCGCGUGCAGGAAGAAGGCGCUACGCGUUGUAAACUGCUUUUAACCGGGAAGAAACCCCAGGACGUGUCCUGGGUUGACGGUACCGGAGGAAUAAGCACCGGCUAACUUCGUGCCAGCAGCCGCGGUAAUACGAAGGGUGCAAGCGUUAUCCGGAUUCAUUGGGUUUAAAGGGUGCGUAGGCGGAGCGUUAAGUCAGUGGUGAAAUCCUGCAGCUUAACUGUAGACUUGCCAUUGAUACUGGCGCUCUUGAGUGCGCUUGAAGUGGGCGGAAUGUGCCGUGUAGCGGUGAAAUGCUUAGAUAUGGCACAGAACACCAAUUGCGAAGGCAGCUCACUAGGGCGAUACUGACGCUGAGGCACGAAAGCGUGGGGAUCGAACAGGAUUAGAAACCCCAGUAGUCC